GGUAUCUAAUCCUCUUCGCUACCCAUGCUUUCGUUCCUCAGUGUCAGUAAUGAUCCAGAAAGCUGCCUUCGCAAUUGGUAUUCUUUCUAAUAUCUACGAAUUUCACCUCUACACUAGAAAUUCUGCUUUCCUCUAUCAUACUCUAGCUGAAAAGUUUUGAUGGCAGUUCCAGAGUUAAGCUCUGGGAUUUCACCACCAACUUUUUCAACCACCUACGAACUCUUUAAGCCCAGUAAUUCCGAACUACGCUAGGUCCCUUCGUAUUACCGCGGCUGCUGGCACGAAGUUAGCCGGACCUUCUUAUUCGGGUACAGUCAUUUUCUUCCCCGACGAAAGAGCUUUACAACCCAAAGGCCUUCUUCACUCACGCGGCAUCGCUGCAUCAGAGUUUCCUCCAUUGUGCAAGAUUCCCCACUGCUGCCUCCCGUAGGAGUUUGGGCCGUGUCUCAGUCCCAAUGUGGCUGAUCAUCCUCUCAAAUCAGCUAUUGAUCAUAGUCUUGGUAGGCCAUUACCCUACCAACAAACUAAUCAAGUGCGGGCUCAUCCAAUGGUGCAUAAAGCUUUCUCCGUAAAGACUUAUCCGGUAUUAGCACAAGUUUCCUCGUGUUAUUCCAGGCCAAAGGGUAGAUACCCACAUGUUACUCACCCGUGUGCCACUAAGUAUUGCUACUUCGUUCGACUUGCAUGUGUUAGGCGUGCCGCCAGCGUACGUUCUGAGCCAGGAUCAAACUCU
RNAcentral lists this ribosomal RNA (733 nucleotides) under uncultured bacterium. RNAcentral's name for it is "partial 16S ribosomal RNA". The record is from RNAcentral.